Molecule: ribosomal RNA, 427 nt
Filed under: uncultured bacterium
Lineage: Bacteria
Description: partial 16S ribosomal RNA
Rfam family: Bacterial small subunit ribosomal RNA
Source: RNAcentral
UGGGGAAUAUUGGACAAUGGGCGAAAGCCUGAUCCAGCCAUGCCGCGUGUGUGAAGAAGGUCUUCGGAUUGUAAAGCACUUUAAGUUGGGAGGAAGGGCAUUAACCUAAUACGUUAGUGUUUUGACGUUACCGACAGAAUAAGCACCGGCUAACUCUGUGCCAGCAGCCGCGGUAAUACAGAGGGUGCAAGCGUUAAUCGGAAUUACUGGGCGUAAAGCGCGUGUAGGUGGUUUGUUAAGUUGGAUGUGAAAUCCCCGGGCUCAACCUGGGAACUGCAUUCAAAACUGACUGACUAGAGUAUGGUAGAGGGUGGUGGAAUUUCCUGUGUAGCGGUGAAAUGCGUAGAUAUAGGAAGGAACACCAGUGGCGAAGGCGACCACCUGGACUAAUACUGACACUGAGGUGCGAAAGCGUGGGGAGCAAACA